CUCGCGAGAGCAAGCGGACCUCAUAAAGUACGUCGUAGUCCGGAUUGGAGUCUGCAACUCGACUCCAUGAAGUCGGAAUCGCUAGUAAUCGUAGAUCAGAAUGCUACGGUGAAUACGUUCCCGGGCCUUGUACACACCGCCCGUCACACCAUGGGAGUGGGUUGCAAAAGAAGUAGGUAGCUUAACCUUCGGGAGGGCGCUUACCACUUUGUGAUUCAUGACUGGGGUGAAGUCGUAACAAGGUAACCGUAGGGGAACCUGCGGUUGGAUCACCUCCUUA
This 280-nucleotide non-coding RNA is filed under the name Pectobacterium carotovorum. Its description in RNAcentral is "partial 16S ribosomal RNA". It matches the Rfam family "Bacterial small subunit ribosomal RNA", at positions 1254 to 1533 of the family's 1533-position model. The record is from RNAcentral. Lineage: Bacteria; Pseudomonadati; Pseudomonadota; Gammaproteobacteria; Enterobacterales; Pectobacteriaceae. RNAcentral also lists the same sequence under 2 other names.